GUGGGGAAUUUUGGACAAUGGGCGCAAGCCUGAUCCAGCAAUGCCGCGUGCAGGAAGAAGGCCUUCGGGUUGUAAACCGCUUUUGUACGGAACGAAACGGUCCUGGCUAAUAUCCGGGGCUAAUGACGGUACCGUAAGAAUAAGCACCGGCUAACUACGUGCCAGCAGCCGCGGUAAUACGUAGGGUGCGAGCGUUAAUCGGAAUUACUGGGCGUAAAGCGUGCGCAGGCGGUGCUGUAAGACAGGCGUGAAAUCCCCGGGCUCAACCUGGGAAUUGCGCUUGUGACUGCAGUGCUGGAGUGCGGCAGAGGGGGAUGGAAUUCCGCGUGUAGCAGUGAAAUGCGUAGAUAUGCGGAGGAACACCGAUGGCGAAGGCAAUCCCCUGGGCCUGCACUGACGCUCAUGCACGAAAGCGUGGGGAGCAAACAGGAUUAGAAACCCCUGUAGUCC
Molecule: ribosomal RNA, 450 nt
Filed under: uncultured bacterium
Lineage: Bacteria
Description: partial 16S ribosomal RNA
Rfam family: Bacterial small subunit ribosomal RNA
Source: RNAcentral